RNAcentral lists this microRNA precursor (83 nucleotides) under Callithrix jacchus (white-tufted-ear marmoset). Its description in RNAcentral is "mir-218 microRNA precursor family". It matches the Rfam family "mir-218 microRNA precursor family". From Rfam's summary of the family: The extents of the hairpin precursors are not known. In this case the mature sequence in excised from the 5'arm of the hairpin. RNAcentral also lists the same sequence under 2 other names. The record is from Rfam by way of RNAcentral. Lineage: Eukaryota; Metazoa; Chordata; Mammalia; Primates; Cebidae.
GGGCUUUCCUUUGUGCUUGAUCUAACCAUGUGGUGGAAUGAUGGAAACGGAACAUGGUUCUGUCAAGCACCGCGGAAAGCACC